RNAcentral lists this ribosomal RNA (926 nucleotides) under Anisakis pegreffii. Its description in RNAcentral is "eukaryotic LSU rRNA". The stretch from base 407 to 560 matches the Rfam family "5.8S ribosomal RNA". Lineage: Eukaryota; Metazoa; Nematoda; Chromadorea; Rhabditida; Anisakidae. The record is from RNAcentral.
CGCGAGGACAUUAUCGAGCGAAUCCAAAACGAACAAAAAAGUCUCCCAACGUGCAUACCUUUCCAUUUGCAUGUUGUUGUGAGCCACAUGGAAACUCGUACACACGUGGUGGCAGCCGUCUGCUGUGCUUUUUUUAGGCAGACAAUGGCUUACGAGUGGCCGUGUGCUUGUUGAACAACGGUGACCAAUUUGGCGUCUACGCCGUAUCUAGCUUCUGCCUGGACCGUCAGUUGCGAUGAAAGAUGCGGAGAAAGUUCCUUUGUUUUGGCUGCUAAUCAUCAUUGAUGAGCAGCAGCUUAAGGCAGAGUCGAGCAGACUUAAUGAGCCACGCUAGGUGGCCGCCAAAACCCAAAACACAACCGGUCUAUUUGACAUUGUUAUUUCAUUGUAUGUGUUGAAAAUGUACAAAUCUUGGCGGUGGAUCACUCGGUUCGUGGAUCGAUGAAGAACGCAGCCAGCUGCGAUAAAUAGUGCGAAUUGCAGACACAUUGAGCACUAAGAAUUCGAACGCACAUUGCGCUAUCGGGUUCAUUCCCGAUGGCACGUCUGGCUGAGGGUCGAAUUACGGUGAACUGUCUUCACGGUUUUUCUGGACUGUGAAGCAUUCGGCAAGCAAUUGCUGUUGUGUUGUUGGUGAUUCUAUCAUGGACAAUAUGACGAGCGGUUCCUUGCUUAGUGAUGACAAAAGAAGACGUCAACACCGAAUCUACUAUACUACUAAUACUAGUAUAUAGGUGAGGUGCUUUUGGUGGUCACAAAAGUGACAAGUAUGCCAUUUCAUAGGGGCAACAACCAGCAUACGUGAUAAGUUGGCUGGUUGAUGAAACGGCAACGGAAUGACGGACGUCUAUGUGAUCAAAAAUGAUACUAUUUGACCUCAGCUCAGUCGUGAUUACCCGCUGAAUUUAAGCAUAUAUUAAGCGGCG